This 466-nucleotide ribosomal RNA is filed under the name uncultured bacterium. RNAcentral describes it as "partial 16S ribosomal RNA". It matches the Rfam family "Bacterial small subunit ribosomal RNA", at positions 28 to 507 of the family's 1533-position model. The record is from RNAcentral.
GAUGAACGCUGGCGGCGUGCUUAACACAUGCAAGUCGAACGAUGAAGCCCAGCUUGCUGGGUGGAUUAGUGGCGAACGGGUGAGUAACACGUGAGUAACCUGCCCUUAACUCUGGGAUAAGCCUGGGAAACUGGGUCUAAUACCGGAUAGGAGCGCCUACCGCCUGGUGGGUGUUGGAAAGAUUUAUCGGUUUUGGAUGGACUCGCGGCCUAUCCGCUUUGUGGUGAGGUAAUGGCUCACCAAGGCGACGACGGGUAGCCGGCCUGAGAGGGUGACCGGCCACACUGGGACUGAGACACGGCCCAGACGCCUACGGGAGGCAGCAGUGGGGAAUAUUGCACAAUGGGCGAAAGCCUGAUGCAGCGACGCCGCGUGAGGGAUGACGGCCUUCGGGUUGUAAACCUCUUUCAGUAGGGAAGAAGCGAAAGUGACGGUACCUGCAGAAGAAGCACCGGCUAACUACGUG